RNAcentral lists this ribosomal RNA (1118 nucleotides) under Bacillus cereus. RNAcentral's name for it is "bacterial SSU rRNA". It matches the Rfam family "Bacterial small subunit ribosomal RNA", at positions 367 to 1474 of the family's 1533-position model. Lineage: Bacteria; Bacillati; Bacillota; Bacilli; Caryophanales; Bacillaceae. The record is from RNAcentral.
UGCAAUUGGACGAAAGUUCUGACGGAGCACGCCGCGUGAGUGAAUGAAGGCUUCGGUCGUAAAACUCUGUUGUAAGGGAAGAACAAGUGCUAGUUGAUAAGCUGGCACCUUGACCGGUACCUAACCAGAAAGGCCACGGCCUAACUACGUGCCAGCAGCCGCGGUAAUACGUAGGUGGCAAGCGUUAUCCGGAAUUAUUGGCGUAAAAGCGCGCGCAGGUGGUUUCUUAAGUCUGAUGUGAAAGCCCACGGUUCAACCGGUGGAGGGUCAUUGGAAACUGGGAGACUUGAGUGCAGAAGAGGAAAGUGGAAUUUCCAUGUGUAGCGGUGAAAUGCGUAGAGAUAUGGAGGAACACCAGUGGCGAAGGCGACUUUCUGGUCUGUAACUGACACUGAGGCGCGAAAGCGUGGGGAGCAAACAGGAUUAGAUACCCUGGUAGUCCACGCCGUAAACGAUGAGUGCUAAGUGUUAGAGGGUUUCCGCCCUUUAGUGCUGAAGUUAACGCAUUAAGCACUCCGCCUGGGGAGUACGGCCGCAAGGCUGAAAUUCAAAGGAAUUGACGGGGGCCCGCCCAAGCGGUGGAGCAUGUGGUUUAAUUGGAAGCAACGCGAAGAACCUUACCAGGUCUUGACAUCUUCUGACAACCCUAGAGAUAGGGCUUUUCCUUCGGGAGCAGAGUGACAGGUGGUGCAUGGUUGUCGUCAGCUCGUGUCGUGAGAUGUUGGGUUAAGUCCCGCAACGAGCGCAACCCUUGAUCUUAGUUGCCAUCAUUAAGUUGGGCACUUUAAGGUGACUGCCGGUGACAAACCGGAGGAAGGUGGGGAUGACGUCAAAUCAUCAUGCCCCUUAUGACCUGGGCUACACACGUGCUACAAUGGACGGUACAAAGAGCUGCAAGACCGCGAGGUGGAGCUAAUUUCAUAAAACCGUUUUCAGUUCGGAUUGUAGGCUGCAACUCGCCUACAUGAAGCUGGAAUCGUUAGUAAUCGCGGAUCACCAUGCCGCGGUGAAUACGUUCCCGGCCCUUGUACACACCGCCCGUCACACCACGAGAGUUUGUACCACCCGAAGUCGGUGGGGUAACCUUUGGAGCCAGCCGCCUAAGGUGACAGAGCACA